CUGGUCGAGAUGCACUGAAGGAAUUUUAGAUCAGUUCUGAUUAAAAGGCUCAUGUUGCAGCCUUUGGUGAGAUCAAGUAUCCAAUGCCUGUUACGUACACAGCAGCACAAAAUAAUCUGCAAGAUCUCAAAGAUCUCAAGGAUCAUUCAAUCACAAAUACGCAUCAGUCCUGCUGCACAUCAUCAAAAAGCCAGAAGAAGCAACUGCCACCAAAGCUGGAACGCCCACGCUCCUGAAAAGGCUGUGAACUCCAGAAAAAAAAAGCCUUUGUUGUAGGGAUGAAAAGCAGCAUUUGAAAUGCACAAAACACACUGUCUCCAAGUGAUUUCUGGAGCUUAACAUCACAGAGAAGGAACUGAAUGUGCUGCUCGGCGCGGUUCUUCUGCUCAAAAGGUCAAAGUCAAAGGAAACAGUCUUCCCCUGACGGCGGGAGGCGCUGCGAGGGAAGGAGGAGGAAAAUACAAACAGCGAGGAAGCGCCGGGCGAGGACACGAGCGGCGGGUGAAAUCAGCUAGUUAGUAGUCAGAGGGCGACGCGGAAACAUCCAAGCGGGUUGUUUUUCAUGGCGGCUCGCUGUGAGGAUGAAGCACAGUCUGAGAGUUAUUACGCCAGGAAGAGCUUCAGAAAAACACCCGUAAAGAUUUACAUGAAGUGGCUGCUGGGAAUACGGACACGGACGUUGUGCGAUGGAUACCUGCGUAUUAUGCAAAAAUCCUCCCCGGGCCCUUUUUAGGCGAAGGAGUCAGACUGGGACGGACGGAGGCCCCCGGCUUACAUUAGUACAUAAAUACAAACCGCCCACAUUCGGCGCAGUUCCGUUCCAGUAAUCAGUCUCAUUUGACCCAUUUUGUGUAACAUUAUGCUUACCCAGCUGGUAUGAUUUCACCCCCCCCCCCCCCCCCCCCGCCCCCCCACGACCAUUGAUGGGCUGUUAAUAAAGCUUUUAGAACAUUAGCC
Gasterosteus aculeatus aculeatus (three-spined stickleback) is the source of this 957-nucleotide long non-coding RNA. NCBI's taxonomy places the organism in Eukaryota, Metazoa, Chordata, Actinopteri, Perciformes, Gasterosteidae. The record is from Ensembl.